GCUUGAGUCACGUAGAGUCUGAACCGUGUUCCUGCACUCAUCCUGAGAACUGGAGAUCAUGUUGUCAGUAACUCUGCUUGUCAUGUUGGGCUUUCUGUGUCAGGAGUCUUCUGCCAACAAGUUCCUGACUCAGACUGACUCAUCCAAGUCUGUUAGUGCUGGAGGGACUGUGACCAUCAGCGCUACAGGGAGCUCUAAUAUUGGUUCCUAUCUCAGUUGGUAUCUUCAGAAACCUGGACAGGCUCCUAAACUUCUUAUAUACUCAUCAUCAUCUCUGUUCUCUGGUACUGAGCCUAGAUUCAGUGGUACUAGAUCUGGUGCUCAGUACACUUUAACCAUCAGUAACGUUAAGGAUGUUGAUGCAGGAGAUUACUAUUGUCUUGGCUACCAUGGUGAUGGCACGUUCACUUUUGGUGGAGGAACCAAACUCAUCGUUGACUUGGGUGUGCAGCAGCCCACCCUGAGCGUCCUCCCCCCCUCCAGAGAGGAGCUGCAGCAGGGCAGUGCCACCGUGGUGUGUCUGGCCAGCGGGGGCUUCCCCUCCGCCUGGAAGCUGGGCUGGAAGCUGGGGGGCAGCAGCAGCUCCUCAGGGGGGUCCCACAGCCCGGAGGUCCUGGGGAGCGACGGCCACUACAGCUGGAGCAGCACCCUGAGCCUCUCUGCAGAGCGCUGGAGGGGGGCGGGCUCAGUGAGCUGUGAGGCCAGUCUGAGUGGACAGAGCCCUGUCACUCAAAGCCUGGACCCUGCCCGCUGCUCGGAGUAGAGCAUCACUUCCUGUCUGGAGAGGAAGCAGCUUCUUUGCUAGAGAUCUUCAUGAAGACACACAUCUCCUCUGCUCACAUGUUGCUGCUGUCUCUGCUCAGUUGUUAGUGUUGCUCUCUAAUCCUCACUUCCUGCAUAUUCUCCUGUUUGUUCAUCAGCUCACAAUUCAACUGGAUUUCAUUUGUUUCACUCCAACAGAAACUCAUCAUUCAUCUCAAAUGUGGCGUGAGCUUUAAACCAUCAUUAAAUAAAAAUGUUGAUUAAAAUGA
Gymnodraco acuticeps is the source of this 1031-nucleotide non-coding RNA. The record is from the annotation of a RefSeq genome assembly. Lineage: Eukaryota; Metazoa; Chordata; Actinopteri; Perciformes; Bathydraconidae.